UAAGAAUCUUGCACAAUGGGGGCAACCCUGAUGCAGCGACGCCGCGUGAAUGAUGAAGGCUUUCGGGUUGUAAAGUUCAGUAAGCAGGGAAGAAUAAGCGCCGGGUAAUAUUCGGCGUGAUGACGGUACCUGCCUAAAGCCCCGGCUAACUACGUGCCAGCAGCCGCGGUAAUACGUAUGGGGCGAGCGUUGUUCGGAAUUAUUGGGCGUAAAGGGCGUCUAGGCGGGGGAUUAAGUUAGAUGUGAAAGCUAUGGGCUCAACCCAUAAAUUGCAUCUAAGACUGGUUCUCUUGAGUUCGGGAGAGGAGAGCGGAAUUCCAGGUGUAGCGGUGAAAUGCGUAGAUAUCUGGAAGAACACCAGUGGCGAAGGCGGCUCUCUGGCCUAGGACUGACGCUGAAGCGCGAAAGCGUGGGGAGCGAAC
This 422-nucleotide ribosomal RNA is filed under the name uncultured bacterium. RNAcentral describes it as "bacterial SSU rRNA". It matches the Rfam family "Bacterial small subunit ribosomal RNA", at positions 356 to 773 of the family's 1533-position model. The record is from RNAcentral.